AUACCAGCUCUCCGAGUGGUGUGGAUGUUUAUUGGGCCUAAAGCAUCCGUAGCUGGCCAAGUUAGUCCCCUGUUAAAUCCACCGAUUCAAUCGUUGGAGUGCGGGGGAUACUGCUCGGCUAGGGGACGGGAGAGGCCGACGGUAUUUUCGGGGUAGGGGUGAAAUCCUAUAAUCCCGGGAAGACCACUAGUGGCGAAGGCUGUCGGCUAGAACGCGCCCGACGGUGAGGGAUGAAAGCUGGGGUAGCGAACCGGAUUAGAUACCCGGGUAGUCCCAGCUGUAAACGAUGCAGGCUAGGUGUUUGGGCGGCCACGUGCCGCUCUAGUGCCGCAGGGAAGUCGUUAAGCCUGCCGCCUGGGGAGUACGGUCGCAAGGCUGAA
RNAcentral lists this ribosomal RNA (380 nucleotides) under uncultured archaeon. RNAcentral describes it as "bacterial SSU rRNA". It matches the Rfam family "Archaeal small subunit ribosomal RNA", at positions 473 to 853 of the family's 1478-position model. The record is from RNAcentral.